RNAcentral lists this ribosomal RNA (460 nucleotides) under uncultured bacterium. RNAcentral's name for it is "partial 16S ribosomal RNA". It matches the Rfam family "Bacterial small subunit ribosomal RNA", at positions 338 to 795 of the family's 1533-position model. The record is from RNAcentral.
CCUACGGGAGGCAGCAGUGAGGAAUAUUGGUCAAUGGACGAGAGUCUGAACCAGCCAAGUAGCGUGAAGGAUGACUGCCCUAUGGGUUGUAAACUUCUUUUAUAAAGGAAUAAAACGAGGCACGUGUGCCUUUUUGCAUGUACUUUAUGAAUAAGGAUCGGCUAACUCCGUGCCAGCAGCCGCGGUAAUACGGAGGAUCCGAGCGUUAUCCGGCUUUAUUGGGUUUAAAGGGAGCGUAGAUGGGUUUUUAAGUCAGUUGUGAAAGUUUGCGGCUCAACCGUAAAAUUGCAAUUGAUACUGGCAGUCGUGAGUACAGUUGAGGUAGGCGGAAUUCGUGGUGUAGCGGUGAAAUGCUUAGAUAUCACGAAGAACCCCGAUUGCGAAGGCAGCUUACUAAACUGUGACUGACAUUGAUGCUCGAAAGUGUGGGUAUCAAACAGGAUUAGAGACCCUUGUAGUC